UGGCUCAGGUGGUAAGGUAUCUGCCUGCAAUGCAGGAGACCCAGGUUCAACUCCUGG
Transfer RNA from Ovis aries (sheep), 57 nucleotides. It matches the Rfam family "tRNA", at positions 8 to 63 of the family's 71-position model. From Rfam's summary of the family: Transfer RNA (tRNA) molecules are approximately 80 nucleotides in length. NCBI's taxonomy places the organism in Eukaryota, Metazoa, Chordata, Mammalia, Artiodactyla, Bovidae. The record is from Rfam.